UAUACAUGUAAGCCUCGAGCAUACAUGCCUAAACCGCUGUGCAUGGCUGUAUGCCGUUAGGGUGUCUCUGGAAACGGAAGCGCCUUCCAUUGUGAAAAGGGGGAUAAUAAUGAAAAAU
Molecule: non-coding RNA, 118 nt
Filed under: Youngiibacter fragilis 232.1
Lineage: Bacteria; Bacillati; Bacillota; Clostridia; Eubacteriales; Clostridiaceae
Also listed under: 1 other name
Description: Clostridium sp. 232.1 Molybdenum/Tungsten riboswitch aptamer (Moco RNA motif)
Rfam family: Molybdenum/Tungsten riboswitch aptamer (Moco RNA motif)
Source: Rfam by way of RNAcentral